RNAcentral lists this unclassified non-coding RNA (217 nucleotides) under Hevea brasiliensis (rubber tree). Lineage: Eukaryota; Viridiplantae; Streptophyta; Magnoliopsida; Malpighiales; Euphorbiaceae. The record is from RNAcentral.
GUAAAGAGUCAGUAAAGUCUCAAUGGAGAGUGGUUUAACCAUUCAUAUUGCAAAUAACCAAGUUGUGUUGCUAAAGUUAAUAUUAUCCAUCAUAUCGAGAUAACAUUAUACUACGAGGUAUACCCCCACUCCUACUCCAUAUUCUCUAUCUUUUUUACUUUUUGAUAACAUAUUUAUUUAUAGCGAAGACAUAAGACGUGGAGCAAAGAAGAUGGUG